RNAcentral lists this unclassified non-coding RNA (606 nucleotides) under Ixodes scapularis (black-legged tick). RNAcentral describes it as "uncharacterized LOC115328095, transcript variant X6". The record is from RNAcentral. Lineage: Eukaryota; Metazoa; Arthropoda; Arachnida; Ixodida; Ixodidae.
UUUGUUGCGGUUUGGUGUGUCUUUUAUUUUUACGUGGAACUCAUAUCGAUCCGAUAUGCCGCGUCCGAGAAUGGAUUUUGCGACUAAUAAGUGGCGAGGCACCACGCGAGCAAGAAUGAACAGCCCUGGAGGUUAUGGGCACUGCUCAAUUGGCUCAUUCCUCGGUGCUUCUCGAAGGCCUGGUCAAGGAGGAGUUGCUCAGUGAACUACUAGUUUGAGUUCCCUGAGACGGACACCACUGACAUCACCUACAGUGCUGAGGUACAGACUUAAUGGCAGAUAUCAAUAGGAGAUGAUGGUACGCGUCACGUCUGUUUGGUUGGACAGCCACCAAGUUGACUUGGAUGUCAGCACCUGUUGUCAUCAGAACCUGGUUCUUGUGCUGCCACAUCGUUUUUGGUGGUGGCGCUGUCGUCACCUCCCAACGCUUGCGCUCCCCGAGUUCCCAUUCAAGAUGGUGCUGCCACGGACUUUGGCUCGUGGGGGUGCCGUCGCUACUGACAAAGCCUGUGCUCCCCGUCGUCCCUGUUGAAAUGGUGGCUGGAACUUGGAGAGGGUUUGCUGCCACAGCCGCUCGCACCUUCACGGAGUACAGCAAUGUGGGGA